CUCUUAUCAAGAGCGGCUGAGGGAAUAGGCCCUGUGAAGCCCGGCAACCUUCAAACAUCGGUUUGAAAAGGUGCUAACUCCUACAGAUCUUUUACGAUCUGAGAGAUAAGAG
This 112-nucleotide non-coding RNA is filed under the name Salimicrobium flavidum. RNAcentral's name for it is "SAM-I sequence". It matches the Rfam family "SAM riboswitch aptamer (S box leader)". Rfam says of the family: The SAM riboswitch is found upstream of a number of genes which code for proteins involved in methionine or cysteine biosynthesis in Gram-positive bacteria. The record is from RNAcentral. Lineage: Bacteria; Bacillati; Bacillota; Bacilli; Caryophanales; Bacillaceae.